Molecule: transfer RNA, 87 nt
Filed under: Pseudothermotoga hypogea
Lineage: Bacteria; Thermotogati; Thermotogota; Thermotogae; Thermotogales; Thermotogaceae
Also listed under: 1 other name
Description: tRNA-Leu
Rfam family: tRNA
About the family: Transfer RNA (tRNA) molecules are approximately 80 nucleotides in length.
Source: RNAcentral
GCCGAGGUGGCGGAAAUGGCAGACGCGCAUGACUCAGGAUCAUGUGGGUUUACACCCGUGCGGGUUCAAGUCCCGCCCUCGGCACCA